CUAAAAGAUGGCUAAGGCUCCAUUCUGAUCACUGAGUGAUCGAGUCUUCUAGAACAUCCUAAUGUAACAGCACAACCCAGACCGGAAAAAACGUGUCAGAAAUCUUCUUGGAUUUCAAUGUCUUGAAGAGCAACAGGCAUUUAAUUGUGCCAGCAGCAAGUCAGCCACCACAUACACAUCUAUUGUAUUUACUCCUUCAGGGAUACAACAUAUGUCAAAGAACUUUUAGCACCCUGUGAAGUCUCUCCAACAGAACCAACAGAACAGCUAUGAACGGUCAACAAAGUUUCGAUUUUCAUGUAUGGACGUAAAAGUUAGGAUCACUUUGUACAGCAAACUACUGCUGCUCAGAAGUUUUCAUUUGGAUGUUUACACUUCAAAGUUUCAGAGAGUAUUAAUCAGUAGUUUUCAUUUGAAUAGUCACACAACGGGGUUUUAUCCUCAGAACUCAAAGGUAUAACUACUUUGCAAAAUAGAAUGAAGAAAAAGCCUCAUGAAAAUACUUCUUAGUAGCUCUCAUUUAGGCGGACACUUAUUAGAGUUUUUAAUUGUCACUUAUUAGAGUUAUGUCCUCAGACUAAAAAAGAUCUUGCCUUGCAGAUCAUGAUUAGCAGUACCAAAAGAACGUUUUGUUCCAUCUUUUGACACAAGCUCCCAAAGGCAGAGAGGAUAUAAUUUUUUAACACUCUUUAGUAAGACUUUGAGUACUGACUGAGGUUUAAAAUAAAAUUGGAAAGGGACCAAUGUAAAUCACACAGAAACGAAAUUAGGGAAAAACCCAGAGACCAUAUUAACAAAAAAAGCAUUACAGUUGUACUUCGAGAUGACAAUGCAAUGUAUUGGGAUUCUCCCAUUGUAAAGGGGUUUCUUUUAUUCGAAAGGAAAGGAAAAAUAGCACUUAGCUCAUGCAAAAAUACCCCAACGCUUGAAGAUUUCAUACUCACAACUUUAAUAAAUAGUAACAGAGAUAUCACCAGGCAAUCAAACGUACUCACAGAGAUACACAGACCAUUUCGGUGGCGGUGCUACACCAAGCAAAAAGAUCAUGGAAAAUGCAUCGAAUGAAAAAUUAGCACAGAGUUCAGGAGCCAGCGAAGGUCGGAAAUCAACGCCUUAUCAGCGAAUAGUGAUCGCCUGCCCUGAAAAUCACAUUAUCGUGGUGAAGAGAUUUUCGAACGGAGGUAAGGAGAUACUCACGCUGAGUGUUAAGGAUACAAUGACUCUACACUCAAUGGUUUGUUUGUUUUUGUUACAGAAGUUAGAGUCGAAGGAGGACGACUGGUCGCUGUUGAAGACAAGAAAGGCCGCUAGAUGAGAGGUGUCACUUUUUAUGGAGUACUACAUGAAGACAACUUCAUUGGAAAUGGAAAACAUGGCGAUUAUGAGUAGAAGAGAAAAGCAUUUGAUAUUUGCUCCCCUGAUCAAUAACACUGCUGACAAAUAAAAUACAUUCCACAGAGACAUAGAGUAAGACAUCCCAGGGAAUAUCUAAACACUACACAGCUGUAACAUGAACAGAAAUAAGGAAAGAUGUGACUUCUUUAAGAUUUGACUUUUGAGUGAGACCAAGAAAGGAGAACUGUUUGCAGACUUGACACGUACUGACUGUGAAAACCAACACAGUAGGGAGCAUUUCAUUGAUGUACAUGGACAUCUUUGAGACAAACAUUCAGAAUCAAUGUUGUUAAAGAUUGGCAAAAAAAAAUAAGAUAGGCAAAAGAAAAAGGAACUAACUUUGUCAGACACACUGUUCAACACCAUUUGCCAUCAGUGAGACUUUUUCUUCACUUUGCACAAAACCUCAUUCCUGAGUUCAAAUGACCAUAGCUUGCAUGCUGCUCGGAGUAACUACAAAACAUCACUGACCCCUCAAAAAUAACUCACCAGUGACUGAACAUUAUCAUUGAGCCUGUACUUGUCCAAUAGUUACACAUGUGAAUCACACCAAUUAGCUUGCAUUUUCCCAUCUUCAAGCCACUUUUAUGGCAGAGUGUUGUGCCGCUCAAGCAACAAGCACCUGACCCAAAGUAAAGUACUAACAUACAACUUUACUACUGUAUUUACCCAUAUGCUACUGAUAACAAAGAGCUUAAAGUAACAUUCUAAGUAAUUUUUUAUCUUUUAUUGCAUUAAAAAUAUAUUUUUCUAUAUAUGUUGUGAUUACUCCUUGCAUAAGUCUAACAUAAAUGUCAUUCAAUAAACACAAAGACUAAAUAACAAUUACUUUAAUAUAUAUAUUACAUUACAUGAACAAUUCUUGAAAAGAAAAAGCUAGACUAAAUCAGCUACAUGUAUGUAUUCAAAAGCUCCAGAUAGUGCAAUAAUAAUAAUAAUAUCAGCAGGAUAGUCUGUUAUUUGUAUUAAAAUUACUGCAAUACAAUUCUAAUCAUUUAGUAUGAUUGAAUACAAACAUUCAUGUAUCAAUUCAUGAGUAAAAACUUGUAUUAAGCAGCUA
This is a non-coding RNA of Pocillopora verrucosa, 2455 nucleotides long. NCBI's taxonomy places the organism in Eukaryota, Metazoa, Cnidaria, Anthozoa, Scleractinia, Pocilloporidae. The record is from RefSeq and is a predicted model, not a curated record.